RNAcentral lists this ribosomal RNA (443 nucleotides) under uncultured bacterium. RNAcentral describes it as "partial 16S ribosomal RNA". It matches the Rfam family "Bacterial small subunit ribosomal RNA", at positions 338 to 795 of the family's 1533-position model. The record is from RNAcentral.
CCUACGGGAGGCAGCAGUGGGGAAUAUUGCACAAUGGGCGAAAGCCUGAUGCAGCAACGCCGCGUGAAGGAAGAAGGGUUUCGGCUCGUAAACUUCUAUCAACAGGGACGAAAGAAAUGACGGUACCUGCAUAAGAAGCCUCGGCUAACUACGUGCCAGCAGCCGCGGGAAUACGUAGGGGGCGAGCGUUAUCCGGAAUUAGUGGGUGUAAAGGGUGAGUAGGCGGCAUGGUAAGCCAGAUGUGAAAGCCUGGGGCUUAACCCGAGGAUUGGAGUUGGAACUAGCAGGCUAGAGUACAGGAGAGGAAGGCGGAAUUCGUAGUGUAGCGGUGAAAUGCGUAGAUAUUAGGAAGAACACCAGUGGCGAAGGCAGCUUUCUGGACUGAAACUGACACUGAGGCACGAAAGCGUGGGGAGCGAACAGGAUUAGAUACCCUUGUAGUC